Molecule: long non-coding RNA, 201 nt
Filed under: Mytilus galloprovincialis (Mediterranean mussel)
Lineage: Eukaryota; Metazoa; Mollusca; Bivalvia; Mytilida; Mytilidae
Source: RNAcentral
UAAAAAAAAACUAACAUUAAAGCAAUUGUAAUCCGAAAUAUAUGUGUAAUUCCCGUUUCAGACAGAAUAUAUAAAGUGACAUUCCCGGUUUAGUGUUUACAUUACCUUCGUCUUCGGCUCAGAAAAUAUAAACUGUAAGCCGGGAAUGUCACAUUAUAUACCCUGCGUGAGAACUGAAUAACACAUAAUAUUUAACGAUUU